UACGGAAGGGGCGAGCGUUGUUCGGAAUCACUGGGCGUAAAGCGCGCGUAGGCGGCUUUGCAAGUGCGGCGUGAAAGUCCUGGGCUCAACCUGGGGACGGCGCUGCGGACUGCAUGGCUGGAGUCCGGAAGAGGGUGGUGGAAUUCCGAGUGUAGAGGUGAAAUGUGUAGAGAUCGGGAGGAACACCGGUGGCGAAGGCGGGUCUCUGGGCAAUUCCUGACGCUGAGGCGCGAAAGCGUGGGGAGCAAACGGG
RNAcentral lists this ribosomal RNA (253 nucleotides) under uncultured bacterium. RNAcentral's name for it is "partial 16S ribosomal RNA". It matches the Rfam family "Bacterial small subunit ribosomal RNA", at positions 524 to 776 of the family's 1533-position model. The record is from RNAcentral.